UUGCACGUAACCUUCAAAGUACUGGAAGU
This 29-nucleotide non-coding RNA is filed under the name Homo sapiens (human). The record is from RNAcentral. Lineage: Eukaryota; Metazoa; Chordata; Mammalia; Primates; Hominidae.